CAGCAGCCACGGUAAUACGAAGGUCCCGAGCGUUGUUCGGAAUCACUGGGCGUAAAGGGAGCGUAGGCGGCGUGGUAAGUCAGAUGUGAAAUCCCGGGGCUCAACCCCGGAACUGCAUCCGAUACUGCCAUGCUAGAGGAUUGGAGAGGUAGCUGGAAUUCUUGGUGUAGCAGUGAAAUGCGUGGAGAUCAAGAGGAACACUCGUGGCGAAAGCGAGCUACUGGACAAUAACUGACGCUGAGGCUCGAAGGCCAGGGUAGCGAAAGGGAUUAGAUACCCGCGUAGUCCCUGUCUCUUAUAC
This 301-nucleotide ribosomal RNA is filed under the name uncultured bacterium. Its description in RNAcentral is "partial 16S ribosomal RNA". It matches the Rfam family "Bacterial small subunit ribosomal RNA", at positions 509 to 807 of the family's 1533-position model. The record is from RNAcentral.